Molecule: non-coding RNA, 2306 nt
Organism: Pantherophis guttatus
Lineage: Eukaryota; Metazoa; Chordata; Lepidosauria; Squamata; Colubridae
Source: RefSeq, a predicted model, not a curated record
CGGGCGGAGAAGGCGGGAGGCGCGGCCAUCGUGCUCGCUAGCGCUCCAUGAGCGGCCAAAAGGCGGCAGCGAAGUCCCGGCGGCAGCAGGAGCAGCUGCCUGAACCCAAACCGGCAUGGCCGAGGCCCCUCCCCCAAUGGCACCCGUGGGAUCCUGCUACUUAACCUCUGAAGUACAGUUGUUUGCUUCAGUGAAGAUGAAAGCCUUUUUGGCCUGCUCCUUUCAGGAAUUUAAAGGGAAUUCACUGGAGCCAGUGGAAAUCCUAUUUUCAUCAUAAAGUGUGGAUUUCUGUGGCUUAAAAGAAUGGAACCAUCAUGCAUAAGGAAAAUGAUCAUUUAAAAGAAUAAUAAUUUUCAUGUAUUAUUAUUUUGUAUAAGAAAAUGGAGUUGGUAUUGUUUCUAAAAAGUGGAUGCUUGAUAUGUCAAACAAUUAUAAGCUGUUUCAAAACUUGUUAAAAACACUUUGAACAAAGGUGGAGAGGGCUUUUAGGAGAAUUGAGUAGAUGUGUCAAAAAGGGGAGGGGGAAAUGAACUUUUGUAAGGGGAUAAAAGCUGAUGAAUGCUUUGUUCCAUGUCCACUAUCUGUGCACCCGUGUUUGCAAAUACGUGAAUGAACUUCUUUGCUGCUUUCAAGUUGUUGUCUCGGGUAGUUCUAUAUGUGUCCACUGUUUGUAACAACUAAUUGAUAUAAUAGGGCUUGGCUGAAAAUCAGGAUGUACACAGGCAUGUAUCUCUCAGCGAUUGAUACCCCUGCACAGGUAGUCCUCGACACAAUUGAGCCCAAAAUUUAUGUUGCGGAGACAUUUGUUAAGUAAAUUUUGCCCCAUUUUACGACCUUUCUUGCCACAGUUGUUAAAUGAAUUACUGCAAUUGUUAAGUUAGUAACACGGUUGUUAAGUGAAUCUGGCUUCCCCAUUGAUUUUGCUUGUCAGGUCAUAAAAGGGGAUCACAUGAGCCCCAGGACAUUACAACGGUCAUAAAUAUGAGUCAAUUGCCAAACGUGUGAAUUUUGAUCACAUAAUCAUGGGAAUGCCGCUACAGUCUUAGUGUGAAAAAUAGUCAUAUUUCAUUUUUUUCAUAAAUUCACAUGCUUAAAAACAAAGGAAGCCUGUUUUCCCUUUGUUAUAUCUGUUUUAUAAAUGUAUUUAUUUGUUUGUUAAAUGUAUAAAUUACAAAAUAAAUACCCAUCAGAUGUUUGGAAAGUUUAAAUGAUCUGUUAUAAAUGGCUUAAGGACCUGUAGUCUAUAAUGUAAUGUCAAGAAAUUUCUAAAUAAUAAUAUUUCAGUUUUGAAAAAUCAGUAUAAUUGUUUUUGCAGAAAUCAGAAAAUAUGUGAAUCUCAUCUUUGUAUAUCUAGAAUUUUUACAAAGAUACAUAAAAAGACAAAUAAGCAGAGACUGGUUAUUCACAAGACAAUCCUGCAUUGGUGAGGAUUGAUAAACCUUCAUUCUUGAAAAAAUAUUUAAAUUUCCAAAUUCCAGCACAAUGAGAAUCAUCCAGAAAUGUGUGUUACCAACUGAGAUUUACUCUUCUAGUAUAAGGAUAGUUUGCUCAAUGGAGUUUAGCAGGUUGAUAUAUAGAAUAUAUCACAUUGUAAGACAGACAAGUGAAUGGUACAAUGGUUAAUAAAUCUUGUAAUAAUACUGCCAAAAUAGCUCUGGGAAUAAGAAUUAGCAUUUUGGCCUAUCAGUCCUGGGUCCAAAUCUUUUGCAUUAUUGUUUCAUGGAGAGUAGAUAUUAUGGAUCAAGGCACUAUCUAUAUAAACAAAUAUAGGAUGAUAACUCCUUAUCUGUGAUUAACUAUAGGAAAAUUGUAACUUGAAACAAUCAGAAACUUCUUUCAUGCAGAAGAUUUUUUUCCCCUUGAUUUCAAUCCCUGGCCUAUUGUUUUUUAGUUUAUUAGGUUGAUAUUUGAAAAAUGCUCUGAUCUUAUGAAUCAGAGAGAUAUUGUUGUAUUAUAAGGUUUAGUUAUAAACAGUGGUCUGUUGUUUAUCCAAUAAUUCUCAGGAGAAACCUCAGGACCAAAUGAGAAAGCUGCUUUUAGCUGAUUGGCCAUAACUUAUAGUUCCCUGCAUCCCACAAAAAUAAUUGUCUAUAAUUAUUGCCAUUAACUCAGGUGAGAAACCUAGAAUUCAUCAUUUCUGUCUCCAUGUGGUUUUUGCAGCCUUGUAUACGUUAUCUUACAAUUUUUCCUUGGGUUUUGGUCCUUUAUAAUUACCAGGUAUUACACAACAUUUGGAUUUCUUUUUCUGCAAUCCCUUACAUAUUUUAUAUGUUCAAGUGAAUUUAAAAAUAAAAUUCAUGAUUUAA